RNAcentral lists this ribosomal RNA (452 nucleotides) under uncultured organism. RNAcentral's name for it is "partial 16S ribosomal RNA". It matches the Rfam family "Bacterial small subunit ribosomal RNA", at positions 329 to 797 of the family's 1533-position model. The record is from RNAcentral.
ACGUACACUCCUACGGGAGGCAGCAGUGGGGAAUAUUGGACAAUGGGCGCAAGCCUGAUCCAGCCAUGCCGCGUGAGUGAUGAAGGCCCUAGGGUUGUAAAGCUCUUUCACCGGUGAAGAUAAUGACGGUAACCGGAGAAGAAGCCCCGGCUAACUUCGUGCCAGCAGCCGCGGUAAUACGAAGGCGGCUAGCGUUGUUCGGAUUUACUGGGCGUAAAGCGCACGUAGGCGGACUAUUAAGUCAGGGGUGAAAUCCCGGGGCUCAACCCCGGAACUGCCUUUGAUACUGGUAGUCUUGAGUUCGAGAGAGGUGAGUGGAAUUCCGAGUGUAGAGGUGAAAUUCGUAGAUAUUCGGAGGAACACCAGUGGCGAAGGCGGCUCACUGGCUCGAUACUGACGCUGAGGUGCGAAAGCGUGGGGAGCAAACAGGAUUAGAUACCCCUGUAGUCCCA